RNAcentral lists this ribosomal RNA (63 nucleotides) under Phoma sp. GAH7. RNAcentral's name for it is "partial 28S ribosomal RNA". It matches the Rfam family "Eukaryotic large subunit ribosomal RNA", at positions 1 to 58 of the family's 3401-position model. The record is from RNAcentral. Lineage: Eukaryota; Fungi; Ascomycota; Dothideomycetes; Pleosporales; Didymellaceae.
ACUCUUGACCUCGGAUCAGGUAGGGAUACCCGCUGAACUUAAGCAUAUCAAUAAGCGGAGGAA